UAGUCGAUCGCGCUUAGCGGAAAGAGAAAAAAGCUUGCUCUCUGGGUCGUCUCGCGAGUGGCGGACGGGUGAGGAAUACAUCGGAAUCUACUCUGUCCGUGGGGGAUAACGUAGGGAAACUUACGCUAAUACCGCAUACGACCUACGGGUGAAAGCAGGGGACCUUCGGGCCUUGCGCGAUUGAAUGAGCCGAUGUCGGAUUAGCUAGUUGGCGGGGUAAAGGCCCACCAAGGCGACGAUCCGUAGCUGGUCUGAGAGGAUGAUCAGCCACACUGGAACUGAGACACGGUCCCACUCCUACGGGAGGCAGCAGUGGGGAAUUUUGGACAAGGGGGGCAAGCCUGAUCCACCAUCCCGCGUGGGGGAAAAAGGCCUCCGGGUUGUAAAGCCCUUUUGUUGGGAAAAAAUCAGCUGGCUAAUACCCGGUUGGGAUGACGGGUCCCAAAGAAUAAGCACCGGCUAACUUCGUGCCACAGCCGCGGUAAUACA
This 489-nucleotide ribosomal RNA is filed under the name gamma proteobacterium HPC1173. Its description in RNAcentral is "bacterial SSU rRNA". It matches the Rfam family "Bacterial small subunit ribosomal RNA", at positions 59 to 527 of the family's 1533-position model. Lineage: Bacteria; Pseudomonadati; Pseudomonadota; Gammaproteobacteria. The record is from RNAcentral.